Long non-coding RNA from Ostrea edulis (European flat oyster), 2069 nucleotides. RefSeq lists it as uncharacterized. The record is from RefSeq and is a predicted model, not a curated record. NCBI's taxonomy places the organism in Eukaryota, Metazoa, Mollusca, Bivalvia, Ostreida, Ostreidae. The transcript is spliced from 2 exons.
UCCUUUCUAUUAUAAGUAACUUACAUAUAUGUAUCAAACUAUUGAUUUGUUUCAUUUCAGUUGUAUUCUAAAAAUAUUUCAUACACUAUUUAACUGGAACACAACAGUAAGUUAGUUGCGUAAUAACAAUUGAACACUUUAUACCGAAAACUACCAUUACAACUGUUUUCACAUUUUCUACCAAAAAUGUUCUCCUCUAUAACAUCACAUCUGUAAGAGAAAAAAUGCAUAGUCAUGUAGAGCAUUUAAUGAUCCAGGGACCGGAGCAGAGAGGAUCAGAAACCCUUGCCUAGGGAAGAUGGGUGGGAGCUAAACAGGGUAUAAAGUGUUUAUUUGUCAAAUAUUUGAAUAACAUAGCCUUAAAUGCUAUUGAUUGAUUGUAUCUUGUUUAACGUUCUUCUCAAUAAUUUUUAAUUCAUAUGGAGACGUCACCAAGACCGGUGAAGGGCUUCAAAUUUAGGCCUAUGCUCGGCGCUUACGGCCAUUGAGCAGUGAGGGCUCUUUAGCGUGCCACACCUACUGUGACACGGGACAUCCGUUUUAUAGGCCAUCUCCGAGGACCCGUGACAUUCACACCUGAUGCCGAGAGUUUGGUGAUGGAACUGUCACUACCUGUUUAACGAACUAGGUCUGUCGCGGCCGGGAUUCGAACCCCGACCGACCGCAUACAGAGCGAACACUUUACCUCAGGACUACCGCAGCGGUGGUAAUGCUAUUGAUACUAAAUUCUGAUUAUAAAUAUUUAAUAAGAACAGGUGGCCUUUACCAAAAUUGUAAAUUUCAUGAUCCAAGGACAGGGUUUUAGUUUAGUGUGGGAUCAAAAUUAUCAUAGUGACCAUUGUUUUAACAACAUAUAAAAUUUAUAUUUCAAUGUGUUGAAAAGUUUCAGGACAUUCCUUCCAAUCCAUAUUUGUUAUUUUCUUACAGAAAAUGUACUACUUAGUUAUGCGAAAAUAAAGAAUAAUGUAUAAACCUUUUUUAAUGUUGUUCCUGCUCAUUAACAUUACAUACAGAAUUCAUGAAGACAGCUUGGCGCUUUUCAGUACUUUGAUUUAAUGUUGUUGGGAUAUGACAUGAAGUUGGUCACGUGAUCAAAUCUUAUAACGCCCGAAGGGCGUUAUAGUAGAUUUGAUCACGUACCAACUUCAUGUCAUAUCCCAAUAACAUUCAAAAAUGAUAUUUUAUUUCUUAUAUUUAUAUUUUCUAUUUUGAUUUGUGUUCUUACCGAGCUUCCAUGAUUAUGUAGCAGAUGACCAAAAUAACGAUCGUAGAACACAAAAUAUAGUUCGUAAGAGUUUUAUCGAAUAAAAAAUAAGGAACAAUAUCAAAGAGAAUAUAAGAUAUAGAAAUUUAAUUGAAUAUGUUAAAAAAAAAAGACGAAACAUGUGUAAAAAUAAAGGUAAUUUAGAGCGUAAAGUUAACUGAAAUGACGACAAGAAGAGCGGAGUAAACUACAUCCGUGGUAUGAUUUGGUCGCGAUCAGAGAUGGAGAAACUGGCGUCGGUCUAGCUUACUAAGUUGAAAACGCAGUUGUUGAUCACAGAUUACGACAGAAAUUCAAAGGAUCUGAGAGAAUUGAUGGUGGAUAUGAUGGGUCAAGUUAACGUUAAGCUCUUAGUCAGGUUUUUGGAAAGAAACAACGGUAUGUUCAUCGUUAGGACUCGUGGUUGUAGCCAUGCAGGAGACGAUUCAAGACAGUAGGACAGAUUUAGACCAAGUACAGGAUUUUAAUGAAGACUCGCACCGGUACCCUGACAUGAACAUGUAAAUUUUUCGAGCCUCGAAACCAGCCUCGCUUAUGAUCAUGCCGAGUCAUAGCCGUGAUGGAAGUUGCCAGGAAACAACAGGUUAACUUAUCAUCAUGAAGUAAAUACAUGUAGGCUUAUAACUCUGCCUACAUGUUUUCGCUUCCAAUAUCAUAGAACUUUAUUUUAUAAAUUCGCCAUGCAGAAGUUGCAGACGGUAUUUAAAACUGUAUAAAAUGAAACAACAGAACGAUAUAUGUUUAAUGUUUCUCUUUUAUAAAUUGAUGACAUUCUUGUUUGUUUACAAAAUAAACUAUAAAUAUC